GAAGAAGCAAAGUGAUGAGUAAUAUUUGCAUGAGCCAAAGCGAGCGAGCUGUGUGCGUGUGAAGUUGUGUGACAGGGUUGUUUGUGAGAAUUGUGUGCCUUAUAAUUGGGCGGUGAUAGCUAAACUGAUAAGAUCUGAUUGCUUC
This is a small nucleolar RNA of Phoenicopterus ruber ruber, 145 nucleotides long. It matches the Rfam family "Small nucleolar RNA ZL1". Rfam says of the family: Host gene TRRAP. Predicted target U2@U47. The record is from Rfam. NCBI's taxonomy places the organism in Eukaryota, Metazoa, Chordata, Aves, Phoenicopteriformes, Phoenicopteridae.